Non-coding RNA from Schistosoma margrebowiei, 46 nucleotides. The record is from Rfam. NCBI's taxonomy places the organism in Eukaryota, Metazoa, Platyhelminthes, Trematoda, Strigeidida, Schistosomatidae.
AUCUAUCUGAUGAGUCCCAAAAUAGGACGAAACGAGCAUCCUGGAU